UAACCUGCCCAAGAGAUCGGGAUAACACCUGGAAACANAUGCUAAUACCGGAUAACAACAGAUGAUGCCUAUCAACUGUUUAAAAGAUGGUUCUGCUAUCACUCUUGGAUGGACCUGCGGUGCAUUAGCUAGUUGGUAGGGUAACGGCCUACCAAGGCGAUGAUGCAUAGCCGAGUUGAGAGACUGAUCGGCCACAUUGGGACUGAGACACGGCCCAAACUCCUACGGGAGGCAGCAGAG
RNAcentral lists this ribosomal RNA (240 nucleotides) under uncultured Lactobacillus sp. Its description in RNAcentral is "partial 16S ribosomal RNA". It matches the Rfam family "Bacterial small subunit ribosomal RNA", at positions 122 to 354 of the family's 1533-position model. The record is from RNAcentral. Lineage: Bacteria; Bacillati; Bacillota; Bacilli; Lactobacillales; Lactobacillaceae.